AGUAACACGUAGGUAACCUGCCCAUGAGCCCGGGAUAACUUCUGGAAACGGAUGCUAAAACCGGAUAGGUAGCAGACAAGCAUUUGACUGCUAUUAAAGUGGCCAAGGCCAUGAACAUGGAUGGACCUGCGGUGCAUUAGCUAGUUGGUGAGGUAACGGCCCACCAAGGCGACGAUGCAUAGCCGGCCUGAGAGGGCGGACGGCCACAUUGGGACUGAGACACGGCCCAAACUCCUACGGGAGGCAGCAUG
This 251-nucleotide ribosomal RNA is filed under the name uncultured bacterium. RNAcentral's name for it is "partial 16S ribosomal RNA". It matches the Rfam family "Bacterial small subunit ribosomal RNA", at positions 109 to 353 of the family's 1533-position model. The record is from RNAcentral.